RNAcentral lists this ribosomal RNA (497 nucleotides) under uncultured bacterium. Its description in RNAcentral is "partial 16S ribosomal RNA". It matches the Rfam family "Bacterial small subunit ribosomal RNA", at positions 28 to 507 of the family's 1533-position model. The record is from RNAcentral.
GAUGAACGCUGGCGGCGUGCCUAAUACAUGCAAGUCGAGCGAACGGACGAGAAGCUUGCUUCUCUGAUGUUAGCGGCGGACGGGUGAGUAACACGUGUAUAACCUCCCUAUCAGACUGGGAUAAUUUCGGGAAACCGGCUCUAAUACCGUAUAAUAUUUUGAACCGCAUUGUUCAAAAGUGAAAUACGGUCUUGCUGUCUCUUCUCGAUGGAUCUGCGCUUCAUUAGAUAGUUGGUAAGGUAACGGCUUACCAAGGCGACGAGGCAUAGACGACCGGAGAGGGUGAUAGGCGACACUGGAACUGAGACACGGUCCAGACUCCUACGGGAGGCAGCAGUAGGGAAUGUGACGCAAUGGGCGAAAGCAUGACGGAGCGACGCGACGUGAGUGAUGGAGGUGUCCGGAUCGUAAAGCUGUGUUAUUAGGGAAGAACAUAUGUGUAAGUAAAUGUGGACAGCUUGACGGUAACGGAUAAGAAAGCCACGGCUAACUACGUG